AGGCCACUGCUAUGGGGUCCGACUAAGCCAUGCGAGUCAUGGGGCGCGCUCUGCGCGCACCGGCGGACGGCUCAGUAACACGUCGGUAACCUACCCUCGGGAGGGGGAUAACCCCGGGAAACUGGGGCUAAUCCCCCAUAGGCCUGAGGUACUGGAAGGUCCUCAGGCCGAAAGGGGCUUUGCCCGCCCGAGGAUGGGCCGGCGGCCGAUUAGGUAGUUGGUGGGGUAAUGGCCCACCAAGCCGAAGAUCGGUACGGGCCAUGAGAGUGGGAGCCCGGAGAUGGACACUGAGACACGGGUCCAGGCCCUACGGGGCGCAGCAGGCGCGAAACCUCCGCAAUGCGGGCAACCGCGACGGGGGGACCCCCAGUGCCGUGGCAUCGCCACGGCUUUUCCGGAGUGUAAAAAGCUCCGGGAAUAAGGGCUGGGCAAGGCCGGUGGCAGCCGCCGCGGUAAUACCGGCGGCCCGAGUGGUGGCCGCUAUUAUUGGGCCUAAAGCGUCCGUAGCCGGGCCCGUAAGUCCCUGGCGAAAUCCCACGGCUCAACCGUGGGGCUUGCUGGGGAUACUGCGGGCCUUGGGACCGGGAGAGGCCGGGGGUACCCCUGGGGUAGGGGUGAAAUCCUAUAAUCCCAGGGGGACCGCCAGUGGCGAAGGCGCCCGGCUGGAACGGGUCCGACGGUGAGGGACGAAGGCCAGGGGAGCGAACCGGAUUAGAUACCCGGGUAGUCCUGGCUGUAAAGGAUGCGGGCUAGGUGUCGGGCGAGCUUCGAGCUCGCCCGGUGCCGAAGGAAGCCGUUAAGCCCGCCGCCUGGGGAGUACGGCCGCAAGGCUGAAACUUAAAGGAAUUGGCGGGGGAGCACUACAAGGGUGGAGCGUGCGGUUUAAUUGGAUUCAACGCCGGGAACUUCACCGGGGGCGACGGCAGGAUGAAGGCCAGGCUGAAGGUCUUGCCGGACACGCCGAGAGGAGGUGCAUGGCCGCCGUCAGCUCGUACCGUGAGGCGUCCACUUAAGUGUGGUAACGAGCGAGACCCGCGCCCCCAGUUGCCAGUCCUCCCCGCUGGGGAGGAGGCACUCUGGGGGGACCGCCGGCGAUAAGCCGGAGGAAGGAGCGGGCGACGGUAGGUCAGUAUGCCCCGAAACCCCCGGGCUACACGCGCGCUACAAUGGGCGGGACAAUGGGAUCCGACCCCGAAAGGGGAAGGGAAUCCCCUAAACCCGCCCCCAGUUCGGAUCGCGGGCUGCAACUCGCCCGCGUGAAGCUGGAAUCCCUAGUACCCGCGUGUCAUCAUCGCGCGGCGAAUACGUCCCUGCUCCUUGCACACACCGCCCGUCACUCCACCCGAGCGGGGUCUGGAUGAGGCCUGAUCUCCCUUCGGGGAGGUCGGGUCGAGUCUGGGCUCCGUGAGGGGG
RNAcentral lists this ribosomal RNA (1413 nucleotides) under uncultured archaeon VC2.1 Arc5. RNAcentral's name for it is "16S ribosomal RNA". It matches the Rfam family "Archaeal small subunit ribosomal RNA". The record is from RNAcentral.